This 333-nucleotide ribosomal RNA is filed under the name Azospirillum brasilense. Its description in RNAcentral is "partial 16S ribosomal RNA". It matches the Rfam family "Bacterial small subunit ribosomal RNA", at positions 1 to 348 of the family's 1533-position model. RNAcentral also lists the same sequence under 1 other name. Lineage: Bacteria; Pseudomonadati; Pseudomonadota; Alphaproteobacteria; Rhodospirillales; Azospirillaceae. The record is from RNAcentral.
CUUGAACCUGAGAGUUUGAUCCUGGCUCAGAACGAACGCUGGCGGCAUGCCUAACACAUGCAAGUCGAACGAAGGCUUCGGCCUUAGUGGCGCACGGGUGAGUAACACGUGGGAACCUGCCUUUCGGUUCGGGAUAACGUCUGGAAACGGACGCUAACACCGGAUACGUCCCCCAGAGAGAUUUGGGCGGAGAAAGUUUACGCCGAGAGAGGGGCCCGCGUCCGAUUAGGUAGUUGGUGGGGUAAUGGCCCACCAAGCCGACGAUCGGUAGCUGGUCUGAGAGGAUGAUCAGCCACACUGGGACUGAGACACGGCCCAGACUCCUACGGGAGG